AUGUACAGUGUCAUUCACAUUGAUGAGAAGUGGUUCUACCGCACUAAAGGUACCCAGAACUACUACUUGGCACCUGAUGAAGAAGAACCCUAUCGCAGCACACAGAGCAAGGGAUUUAUCGAGAAAGUGAUGUUCUUGGCAGCAGUAGCAAGGCCUCGUUAUGAUGAUCAUGGUGUCAUGACUUUUGAUGGCAAGAUUGGAAUUUGGCCGUUCACAUAUCAGGACUUUGCAAAGAGGCGUAGCCCUUACCGAGAGAGGGGGGAAGAGGUAACCAAGGUUUUGUCGUCGGUGACGAAGGAUGUCAGUAGAGAUUAUAUGGUGAACAAGCUGCUACCUGCCAUCAAGGCUUUGUGGCCGGCUUCGGAACGCGGACGCAUAAUAUACAUUCAGCAAGAUAAUGCAAAGACCCAUGUUGCUGUGAAUGACAGUGUGUUUUGUGCAGCGGCACAGGCGGAUGGAUGGGAUAUUAGGCUUACAUGUCAGCCGCCGAACUCACCUGAUUUGAACAUUCUUGACUUAGGAUUCUUUGCUGCACUUCAGGCUCUUUUUGAGAAGAUGUCCCCUGGUAAAAUUGUUGAUAUUGUUGCAAAGGUGAAAAAAGCAUAUGACACCUACCCGGCUGAGAGAAGCAACCGUAUUUUUCUUACCCUUCAGUCAUGCAUGUGCGAGGUACUGAAGCAGAAAGGAGGUAACCGGUACAAGGUUCCGCACAUGGGGAAGUCAUUUCUGGCGGCACUCGAAAUGCUUCCGGACGUAGUACCCUGCGAUGCUGAUGUUGUAAUUGCUGCUAUUGAAGCCCUUCUAGAUGCUUGA
This 813-nucleotide ribosomal RNA is filed under the name Triticum aestivum (bread wheat). Its description in RNAcentral is "partial small subunit ribosomal RNA". Lineage: Eukaryota; Viridiplantae; Streptophyta; Magnoliopsida; Poales; Poaceae. The record is from RNAcentral.